GUGCAGGGUUUCAGGAGGGAGGCACAAGGUGGGAGCAAGUGAUUCAGGUCUCCCCUCUCAGUAUCCUCAUCCACAGAAUGAGGGAGCCCAUCUCCAAUAUCUCCAGGAUCCCUUCCAACUAUCCAGUCUAGCCUUCUGACAAAUUCUUCAUAUUAAGGCAGUGGGAUCCCCACAGCUAAGUGUGUUUCCUCAUUUGUCUUUCAGCAAGUGCUUGGAGCCAAAAGGAGACCCGCUGCCCUGCCCACUGUGAGCAAUCAGGUGCUCUGCUGGGUGGCCCUUUGUCACCUGGGAGCAGGCACCACGGACAGUGGAAUCACUCAGAGCGCAGAAUAUCUGUUCAGAGAGGAAGGAUCGAGAUGUGACCCCGGAAUGUGAAUAGAAUUUUAAUUACAGCACCAUGUACUAAUACCGACAAGAUCAUGGACAAGAGCUGAGACUCAUCUGCUACUCACAGGCUGUAAAUGCUGUUUAGAAAGGAGAUGUAUCUGAAGGCUACAGUGCUUCUCAGGAGAAGAAGGCAUUCUUUCCUCUCACUGUGAAACUGACUCCAAAGAACCAGACAUCCCUGUAUCUCUGUGCCAGUAGUAGAG
This 590-nucleotide long non-coding RNA is filed under the name Equus asinus (donkey). Its description in RNAcentral is "lncRNA (ENSEASG00005026528.1)". Lineage: Eukaryota; Metazoa; Chordata; Mammalia; Perissodactyla; Equidae. The record is from RNAcentral.